UACGAAGGGGGCAAGCGUUGUUCGGAAUUACUGGGCGUAAAGGGAGUGUAGGCGGUUUAGUAAGAUAGUGGUGAAAUCCCAGAGCUUAACUUUGGAAUUGCCAUUAUAACUAUUAGACUAGAAUUACAGAGAGGAUGGUGGAAUACCCAGUGUAGAGGUGAAAUUCGUAGAUAUUGGGUAGAACACCAGUGGCGAAGGCGACUAUCUGGCUGUACAUUGACGCUGAGGCUCGAAAGCAUGGGGAUCAAACAGG
RNAcentral lists this ribosomal RNA (253 nucleotides) under uncultured bacterium. Its description in RNAcentral is "partial 16S ribosomal RNA". It matches the Rfam family "Bacterial small subunit ribosomal RNA", at positions 524 to 776 of the family's 1533-position model. The record is from RNAcentral.